AGUGAACGCUGGCGGUAGGCCUACACAUGCAAGUCGAACGGCAGCACAGUAAGAGCUUGCUCUUACGGGUGGCGAGUGGCGGACGGGUGAGGAAUACAUCGGAAUCUACUUUUUCGUGGGGGAUAACGUAGGGAAACUUACGCUAAUACCGCAUACGACCUACGGGUGAAAGCAGGGGAUCUUCGGACCUUGCGCGAUUGAAUGAGCCGAUGUCGGAUUAGCUAGUUGGCGGGGUAAAGGCCCACCAAGGCGACGAUCCGUAGCUGGUCUGAGAGGAUGAUCAGCCACACUGGAACUGAGACACGGUCCAGACUCCUACGGGAGGCAGCAGUGGGGAAUAUUGGACAAUGGGCGCAAGCCUGAUCCAGCCAUACCGCGUGGGUGAAGAAGGCCUUCGGGUUGUAAAGCCCUUUUGUUGGGAAAGAAAAGCAGCAGGUUAAUACCCCGCUGUUCUGACGGUACCCAAAGAAUAAGCACCGGCUAACUUCGU
This 490-nucleotide ribosomal RNA is filed under the name uncultured bacterium. Its description in RNAcentral is "partial 16S ribosomal RNA". It matches the Rfam family "Bacterial small subunit ribosomal RNA", at positions 29 to 506 of the family's 1533-position model. The record is from RNAcentral.